Molecule: long non-coding RNA, 2165 nt
Organism: Numida meleagris (helmeted guineafowl)
Lineage: Eukaryota; Metazoa; Chordata; Aves; Galliformes; Numididae
Exons: 2
Source: RefSeq, a predicted model, not a curated record
CGGUCACGUGGCGGGCUGUGAGCGGACGGGGUGGGGUUGGUGGUGGGGGCGGUGCUGGGCUUUGUCCGCGCUUCGUGUUUGUGCAGUGCGUUUUGCUUUCGGUCACCUCCAGGCCACGUCUAGAUUCCUUGUGAAUUGCCAAGAACCUGUCACUCCCAGCUCUGGGAUUCCCUGUUGGAGGUGAUGGCUGUACCCUGCUGCUCUGAUGUCUGCUUCCAUGCAGAACUUGUGACCUUCAUGUUUUGGGAUGCUUGCAGUAUGUUCAGUCCGACAUGGGGUGAGGCAAACUGCAUCUUGUAAAACAUCUAUUUAAAGUUGCUUUUUUGACUUGACACUUGGACAUUGUAGAAAAAUAGCAAAAGUAACAGGUGGUAUUAGUACCUACGAGUUGUAGAUGGCUUUGUAGUUAAAGAGUGGAAUGGUGUAGCAGAGAGAGAGCUUAAAGCUGUGAGAGUAAAGUUUGGUUUGUAUGCCACCAGUUUGCGGUGUGGUAAACCACUCAUUCACUUAUCUUCUUCAAAGAGCUCAUUUUUUUUGCAAGAUUAGUAAUUAUAAAUACAACACUUGUACAUAUUAAAUACUUUUUUCAAUCUUACUGAUUUCAUUAUUAUUGAUGUAGAAGCCUUCAUGUGUUCUUCCAGGAUAAACAUUUUAACCUUUUUUUAUUCUUUUUCCACAAAGAGUACACUUCCUAACUCUUCAUAAGAGUUCUGAUCCUGCUGUGAAAAGCUCUGUGUUAUGAGUUUUCUGAAGGAAUCAAUAGGAACUUGCUAAAAGAAAAUCCAGUUGUGAGAGCGUGGUUUUUGAAGGAUUUCCAACAUUUUCUUUCACCUAAACCUCUAAAAGCAUUAUGGGCUAUGUGGGAGGAGGCUUUGCUCAAUUUCCUCAUUGUAUUUAAUGUCAGUCAGAUUGCAUGGUAGAGAUGGAAAAGGGUAUGUGUAAAAGUUGAAAAUACAGGAUGGCCCAAGGAGAGAUGGAAAACUGGGGAAUACUUGUGUCUUAUUUAAAAAAGGGGGGAAAAAAAGCUUUCAGGCCAAGCAUACUCUUGUCUAUGUAGCUGUAGGCUUCUCUUUUUAUUAAUAAAAAGUUUGUCACUAAUCUUAUGACUCUUGGAUGCCAAAAUUAUACUUGGGUAAUUCCAUGGAGGAAGCUGGCUCCCUUUGUCCUUAUUAAAAUAAUGGUUAGUUGUAAAUUUUGACUUGAGCAUCUCUAAAACCAUCAGUUGCUGAAAGAACACCCUAGGAGUGGGAUGAAUUGUGUGCUUAAAUUCUGUGUUCUGUCUGCCAGUCAGAUGCAAGGCAAACAGGGUCAUGGACCAGGGGGCUGUUUAUUUUCCAGUAUGGCAAUUUUUCUUCUCUUGUAACCCGCUAACUACAGAAAAAGUGAUUUCUUUCCCGUAUGUAUGCUCUUUCAUAUUAGCAAUCUGACCCUUUACAUCAAAGAACAAAUUGUUUAUGAGGGUUAUAGGUUUAAUCAUUUAAUUAUUCUUUUUUUGAAAGAAAGCAGUAAAUUUGACUUUCAAUAACAUUAAAAAUCCUUUAAUGUUCCUCAUAAAGAUUAUCUUCUGCUGUAUGAACUUUUCAAUAUUUUUGUUAGCAUAAUCAAUUUAACAUCUAAAGAGUGAGGCAAAGUAUCAUUAACUGUGCAGGAGUCAGUAAAACUGAAAACAGACCGAUGUUCUAUUUACCUUGCCCAGUUUGCUUUGGAAGUAGAAUUUCUUAUAGUCUCUCAUCCUACCUGUUAUGGGUGUUUUAAAAAAGUAAUAAUUAUGAAAUGAAAGUAUUGAAUUUCUAGCAUCCUCAAAAUUGUAUUCAGUUUCACAGUUCUUGUCAUUAGUCUGAUUUCUCUCUCUUUCUCUUUCCCCUAGCCGAAUUUUGAUGCCUCUUUACACAUCCUCCAAGUAGAGGUUGGAGGUGAUAGACAAUCAACAGAUAUGGGUUGUGCAGGGUUUACUGCCAGAAUCACUGCAGUAAGAAGCUAAUGUGUCCUGCACACUUCUUUUCAACUGAGAUUUGGAAAUGUGUGUUCUGUAGUUCUGCUGAAGUUGCACAGAAAUAUCAGAGCUGAUGUCUGCAGACUUGUGAAAGAAAUUUACACUCACAUUCUGAAAAUGGUUCUCGCUUUCCCCUGCUCCUUUGAUAUAGAAAUGUAUCAUAUGGUAAAUA